This 253-nucleotide ribosomal RNA is filed under the name uncultured bacterium. Its description in RNAcentral is "partial 16S ribosomal RNA". It matches the Rfam family "Bacterial small subunit ribosomal RNA", at positions 524 to 776 of the family's 1533-position model. The record is from RNAcentral.
UACGGAGGGGGCUAGCGUUGUUCGGAAUCACUGGGCUUAAAGGGCGCGUAGGCGGGCUGCCGCGUCCGGGGUGAAAUCCCACGGCUCAACCGUGGAACGGCCUCGGAUACGGGCGGCCUCGAGGGGGGUAGGGGCAUCUGGAACUGUGAGUGGAGCGGUGAAAUGCGUUGAUAUUCACAGGAACUCCGGUGGCGAAGGCGAGGUGCUGGACCCCUUCUGACGCUGAGGCGCGAAAGCCAGGGGAGCGAACGGG